CCCUUAGAUGUUCUGGGCCGCACGCGCGCUACACUGACGAUGGCAACGAGUUUUUCCUUCGCCGAAAGGUGUGGGUAAUCUUUUGAAACAUCGUCGUGCUGGGGAUAGAUCAUUGCAAUUUUUGAUCUUGAACGAGGAAUUCCUAGUAAGCGCGAGUCAUCAGCUCGCGUUGAUUACGUCCCUGCCCUUUGUACACACCGCCCGUCGCUACUACCGAUUGAAUGGUUUAGUGAGGACUCCUGAUUGGCGCCGCCGCCCCGGCAACGGAGCAGCGGACUGCCGAAAAGUUGUUCAAACUUGAUCAUUUAGAGGAAGUAGAAGUCGUAACA
Molecule: ribosomal RNA, 329 nt
Filed under: uncultured eukaryote
Lineage: Eukaryota
Description: partial 18S ribosomal RNA
Rfam family: Eukaryotic small subunit ribosomal RNA
Source: RNAcentral